RNAcentral lists this ribosomal RNA (511 nucleotides) under uncultured bacterium. RNAcentral's name for it is "bacterial SSU rRNA". It matches the Rfam family "Bacterial small subunit ribosomal RNA", at positions 8 to 507 of the family's 1533-position model. The record is from RNAcentral.
AGAGUUUGAUCAUGGCUCAGGAUGAACGCUAGCGAUAGGCCUUACACAUGCAAGUCGAGGGGCAGCACAUAAAUUGUAGCAAUACGAUUUGGUGGCGACCGGCGCACGGGUGAGUAACGCGUAUGCAACCUACCUACUACUUUGGCAUAGCUCGUUGAAAGACGAAUUAAUACCUCAUAAAACAGGGGCUCCGCAUGGAGAUAUUUGUUAAAGAUUUAUCGGUAGUAGAUGGGCAUGCGUUCCAUUAGUUAGUUGGCGAGGUAACGGCUCACCAAGACAACGAUGGAUAGGGGAACUGAGAGGUUUAUCCCCCACACUGGAACUGAGACACGGUCCAGACUCCUACGGGAGGCAGCAGUGAGGAAUAUUGGUCAAUGGAGGCAACUCUGAACCAGCCAAGUCGCGUGAAGGAUGACGGCCCUACGGGUUGUAAACUUCUUUUUAAGGGAAUAAAGUGAGCCACGUGUGGCUUUUGCAUGUACCUUACGAAUAAGGAUCGGCUAACUCCGUG